AAUUAACGUUAGCGGCGUGCCUGAUGCAUGCAAGUCGAACGCCCUGAUAAUUCGUAAGGAUUAUCAGGGAGUGGCGGACGGCUGAGUAACGCGUAAGUGACCUACCUUUAAGUGGGGAAUAACUUGCCGAAAGGCAGGCUAAUACCGCAUGUGCUGGUAAGUUGAGGCUUAUCAGCAAAGUCUUAGGACGCUUGAAGAGGGGCUUGCGUCUGAUUAGCUAGUUGGUUAGGGUAAUGGCUUACCAAGGCGAUGAUCAGUAGCUGGUCUGAGAGGACGAGCAGCCAGACGGGGACUGAGACACGGCCCUGACUCCUACGGGAGGCAGCAGCAAGGAAUUUUGCGCAAUGGGCGAAAGCCUGACGCAGCGACGCCGCGUGGGGGAUGACGGCCUUCGGGUUGUAAACCCCUCUUCUCGAGGAAGAAUAAUGACGGUACUCG
Molecule: ribosomal RNA, 438 nt
Filed under: uncultured bacterium
Lineage: Bacteria
Description: bacterial SSU rRNA
Rfam family: Bacterial small subunit ribosomal RNA
Source: RNAcentral